GGACAGGACACCCCAGUUCGGCAGCUCCUUCAAGGCCAAAUCGGACUUUGUGACCAAACCAAUUUCCGAGCAAGAAUGGGAAGGAAUCUGGAAAUUCCUUAUAGAAGCAACUGAUGAACCCUUGACUAUGAUAAUGGAACCCCUAGGCGGAAAGAUGAGCGAGAUUUCAGAGUCUGCAAUACCUUUCCCUUACAGGAAGGGGUACCUCUAUGACAUCCAGUAUUUCUUGAGGUGGUUCGAGAAAGAAGCUGAGGUAACUGAGAAGCAUCUUGAAUGGAUGAGGGAAAUGUACAGGUACAUGACUCCUUAU
Molecule: unclassified non-coding RNA, 310 nt
Filed under: Hevea brasiliensis (rubber tree)
Lineage: Eukaryota; Viridiplantae; Streptophyta; Magnoliopsida; Malpighiales; Euphorbiaceae
Source: RNAcentral